GCCGGCAUAGCUCAGUGGUAGAGCAACAGUUUUGUAAACUGUAAGUCGGGGGUUCAAGUCCCUCUGCCGGCU
This 72-nucleotide transfer RNA is filed under the name Parcubacteria group bacterium CG2_30_36_38. RNAcentral describes it as "tRNA-Thr". It matches the Rfam family "tRNA". Rfam says of the family: Transfer RNA (tRNA) molecules are approximately 80 nucleotides in length. RNAcentral also lists the same sequence under 5 other names. The record is from RNAcentral.